AACAAAAACAAGAGACCGGACAACAUGGUCCUGAUAAAGGAACCCCUCUACUUGUCUCCUACUUAAAAUCCAUUGGAGGACUAGGUCACAGAGGAGGGACCUAGGAUCUUCUUCUCCAAUACAUUUUAACAAAGACACGAGGAGAGAGGAUGCCAGAAAAAUAGUGAAAACCCUUGAGAAAGAGCCCUCAAAUGUGUCUAGGUUAUAUAGUUAAGGUGUAUGUAGAGAUGUGGUUAUAUAGUUAUAUAGUUAAGGUGUAGGUAGAGAUGUGGUUAUAUAGUUAUAUAGUUAAGGUGUAGGUAGAGAUGUGGUUAUAUAGUUAUAUAGUUAAGGUGUAGGUAGAGAUGUGGUUAUAUAGUUAUGGUGUAGGUAGAGAUGUGGUUAAAUAGUUAUGGUGUAGGUAGAGAUGUGGUUAAAUAGUUAUAUAGUUAAUGUGUAGGUGGAGAUGUGGUUAUAUAGUUAAGGUGUAGGUAGAGAUGUGGUUAUAUAGUUAAGGUGUAGGUAGAGAUGUGGUUAUAUAGUUAAGGUGUAGGUAGAGAUGUGGUUAUAUAGUUAAGGUGUAGGUAGAGAUGUGGUUAUAUAGUUAUAUAGUUAAGGUGUAGGUAGAGAUGUGGUUAUAUAGUUAUAUAGUUAAGGUGUAGGUAGAGAUGUGGUUAUAUAGUUAUAUAGUUAAGGUGUAGGUAGAGAUGUGGUUAUAUAGUUAAGGUGUAGGUAGAGAUGUGGUUAUAUAGUUAAGGUGUAGGUAGAGAUGUGGUUAUAUAGUUAUAUAGUUAAGGUGUAGGUAGAGAUGUGGUUAUAUAGUUAUAUAGUUAAGGUGUAGGUAGAGAUGUGGUUAUAUAGUUAAGGUGUAGGUAGAGAUGUGGUUAUAUAGUUAAGGUGUAUGUAGAGAUGUGGUUAUAUAGUUAUAUAGUUAAGGUGUAGGUAGAGAUGUGGUUAUAUAGUUAUAUAGUUAAGGUGUAGGUAGAGAUGUGGUUAUAUAGUUAAGGUGUAGGUAGAGAUGUGGUUUUAUAGUUAAGGUGUAGGUAGAGAUGUGGUUAUAUAGUUAAGGUGUAGGUAGAGAUGUGGUUAUAUAGUUAAGGUGUAGGUAGAGAUGUGGUUAUAUAGUUAAGGUGUAGGUAGAGAUGUGGUUAUAUAGUUAAGGUGUAGGUAGAGAUGUGGUUAUAUAGUUAAGGUGUAGGUAGAGAUGUGGUUAUAUAGUUAAGGUGUAGGUAGAGAUGUGGUUAUAUAGUUAAGGUGUAGGUAGAGAUGUGGUUAUAUAGUUAAGGUGUAGGUAGAGAUGUGGUUAUAUAGUUAAGGUGUAGGUAGAGAUGUGGUUAUAUAGUUAAGGUGUAGGUAGAGAUGUGGUUAUAUAGUUAUAUAGUUUAGGUGUAGGUAGAGAUGUGGUUAUAUAGUUAAGGUGUAGGUAGAGAUGUGGUUAUAUAGUUAUAUAGUUAAGGUGUAGGUGGAGAUGUGGUUAUAUAGUUAAGGUGUAGGUAGAGAUGUGGUUAUAUAGUUAAGGUGUAGGUAGAGAUGUGGUUAUAUAGUUAUAUAGUUAAGGUGUAGGUAGAGAUGUGGUUAUAUAGUUAAGGUGUAGGUAGAGAUGUGGUUAUAUAGUUAUAUAGUUAAGGUGUAGGUGGAGAUGUGGUUAUAUAGUUAAGGUGUAGGUAGAGAUGUGGUUAUAUAGUUAUAUAGUUUAGGUGUAGGUAGAGAUGUGGUUAUAUAGUUAAGGUGUAGGUAGAGAUGUGGUUAUAUAGUUAAGGUGUAGGUAGAGAUGUGGUUAUAUAGUUAUAUAGUUUAGGUGUAGGUAGAGAUGUGGUUAUAUAGUUAAGGUGUUGGUAGAGAUGUGGUUAUAUAGUUAUAUAGUUACGGUGUAGGUAGAGAUGUGGUUAAAUAGUUAUAUAGUUAAGGUGUAGGUGGAGACGUGGUUAUAUAGUUAAGGUGUAGGUAGAGAUGUGGUUAUAUGGUUAAGGUGUUGGUAGAGAUGUGGUUAUAUAGUUAUAUAGUUUAGGUGUAGGUAGAGAUGUGGUUUUAUAGUUAAGGUGUAGGUAGAGAUGUGGUUAUAUAGUUAUAUAGUUAAGGUGUAGGUAGAGAUGUGGUUAUAUAGUUAAGGUGUAGGUAGAGAUGUGGUUAUAUAGUUAAGGUGUAGGUGGAGAUGUGGUUAUAUAGUUAAGGUGUAGGUAGAGAUGUGGUUAUAUAGUUAUAUAGUUAAGGUGUAGGUGGAGAUGUGGUUAUAUAGUUAAGGUGUAGGUAGAGAUGUGGUUAUAUAGUUAUAUAGUUAAGGUGUAGGUGGAGAUGUGGUUAUAUAGUUAAGGUGUAGGUAGAGAUGUGGUUAUAUAGUUAUAUAGUUUAGGUGUAGGUAGAGAUGUGGUUAUAUAGUUAAGGUGUUGGUAGAGAUGUGGUUAUAUAGUUAUAUAGUUUAGGUGUAGGUAGAGAUGUGGUUAUAUAGUUAAGGUGUAGGUAGAGAUGUGGUUAUAUAGUUAUAUAGUUAAGGUGUAGGUAGAGAUGUGGUUAUAUAGUUAUAUAGUUAAGGUGUAGGUGGAGAUGUGGUUAUAUAGUUAAGGUGUAGGUAGAGAUGUGGUUAUAUAGUUAUAUAGUUUAGGUGUAGGUAGAGAUGUGGUUAUAUAGUUAAGGUGUAGGUAGAGAUGUGGUUAUAUAGUUAUAUAGUUAAGGUGUAGGUAGAGAUGUGGUUAUAUAGUUACGGUGUAGGUAGAGAUGUGGUUAAAUAGUUAUAUAGUUAAGGUGUAGGUGGAGAUGUGGUUAUAUAGUUAAGGUGUAGGUAGAGAUGUGGUUAUAUAGUUACGGUGUAGGUAGAGAUGUGGUUAAAUAGUUAUAUAGUUAAGGUGUAGGUGGAGACGUGGUUAUAUAGUUAAGGUGUAGGUAGAGAUGUGGUUAUAUGGUUAAGGUGUUGGUAGAGAUGUGGUUAUAUAGUUAUAUAGUUUAGGUGUAGGUAGAGAUGUGGUUAUAUAGUUAAGGUGUAGGUAGAGAUGUGGUUAUAUGGUUAAGGUGUUGGUAGAGAUGUGGUUAUAUAGUUAUAUAGUUUAGGUGUAGGUAGAGAUGUGGUUAUAUAGUUAAGGUGUAGGUAGAGAUGUGGUUAUAUAGUUAAGGUGUAGGUAGAGAUGUGGUUAUAUGGUUAAGGUGUUGGUAGAGAUGUGGUUAUAUAGUUAUAUAGUUUAGGUGUAGGUAGAGAUGUGGUUAUAUAGUUAAGGUGUAGGUAGAGAUGUGGUUAUAUAGUUAAGGUGUAGGUAGAGAUGUGGUUAUAUAGUUAAGGUGUAGGUAGAGAUGUGGUUAUAUAGUUAUAUAGUUACGGUGUAGGUAGAGAUGUGGUUAUAUAGUUAUAUAGUUAAGGUGUAGGUAGAGAUGUGGUUAUAUAGUUAUAUAGUUAAGGUGUAGGUAGAGAUGUGGUUAUAUAGUUAAGGUGUAGGUAGAGAUGUGGUUAUAUAGUUAAGGUGUAGGUAGAGAUGUGGUUAUAUAGUUACGGUGUAGGUAGAGAUGUGGUUAUAUAGUUAUAUAGUUAAGGUGUAGGUAGAGAUGUGGUUAUAUAGUUAAGGUGUAGGUAGAGAUGUGGUUAUAUAGUUAAGGUGUAGGUAGAGAUGUGGUUAUAUAGUUAAGGUAUAGGUAGAGAUGUGGUUAUAUGGUUAAGGUGUAGGUAGAGAUGUGGUUAUAUAGUUAUAUAGUUUAGGUGUAGGUAGAGAUGUGGUUUUAUAGUUAAGGUGUAGGUAGAGAUGUGGUUAUAUAGUUAUAUAGUUAAGGUGUAGGUAGAGAUGUGGUUAUAUAGUUAUAUAGUUAAGGUGUAGGUAGAGAUGUGGUUUUAUAG
Long non-coding RNA from Oncorhynchus keta (chum salmon), 3793 nucleotides. RefSeq lists it as uncharacterized. The transcript is spliced from 5 exons. NCBI's taxonomy places the organism in Eukaryota, Metazoa, Chordata, Actinopteri, Salmoniformes, Salmonidae. The record is from RefSeq and is a predicted model, not a curated record.